GACGAACGCUGGCGGCGUGCCUAACACAUGCAAGUCGAACGGAACUGUUUUGAAAGAUUUCUUCGGAAUGAAUUUGAUUUAGUUUAGUGGCGGACGGGUGAGUAACGCGUGAGUAACCUGCCUUCAAGAGGGGGAUAACAUUCUGAAAAGAAUGCUAAUACCGCAUGACAUAUCGGAAUCACAUGAUUCUGAUAUCAAAGAUUUUAUCGCUUGAAGAUGGACUCGCGUCCGAUUAGUUAGUUGGUGAGGUAACGGCUCACCAAGACCGCGAUCGGUAGCCGGACUGAGAGGUUGAACGGCCACAUUGGGACUGAGACACGGCCCAGACUCCUACGGGAGGCAGCAGUGGGGGAUAUUGCGCAAUGGGGGCAACCCUGACGCAGCAACGCCGCGUGAAGGAUGAAGGUUUUCGGAUUGUAAACUUCUUUUAU
This 431-nucleotide ribosomal RNA is filed under the name uncultured bacterium. Its description in RNAcentral is "bacterial SSU rRNA". It matches the Rfam family "Bacterial small subunit ribosomal RNA", at positions 28 to 439 of the family's 1533-position model. The record is from RNAcentral.